Felis catus (domestic cat) is the source of this 4307-nucleotide long non-coding RNA. RefSeq lists it as uncharacterized. The record is from RefSeq and is a predicted model, not a curated record. NCBI's taxonomy places the organism in Eukaryota, Metazoa, Chordata, Mammalia, Carnivora, Felidae. The transcript is spliced from 4 exons.
UUAAUUUGGGUAGAAACACAUGCAGAAAUGUCUCAUUAAUGUUUAUUAAUAUAAAUAUUAAGUUAUUAUAGUAAACAUCCCACCAGGCAUAGGAAUUCUCUCUCUGCUAUUCUAAGACAACCAUUUCUAAGCACCUUUUUGAUCUUUUUUGGAUCUCUUCCAAUGACAGCAGUGCACAUUAUCACAGGCAGCAACUAUCCUCAGCAUCCUGCUCCCCAUAGGUGACACCUUCUGCCAGUGUCCUAGUGUUCAGAGCCUGUCUUUCCAUUUAUUUCCUUGGUGUUGCUCCCCUCUAGGGCUUGGCUUUCCACCAAGCUCCAGGCAGCUGGGGCAGGGAGCUCUCACAGCUUCCCAGCUUCUACCUCUCCUGUCUGUGCCUCAACAUCUAAUGCUGCUGCUGAGUUUUAUUCUUGAGACAUGUCUGUGCAGCCAUGUUGACAUAAGUGAUCAUCAAGCCAUGGCAAUCUCAGCCAGGACAUCCCCUGUUUCAGGGAGGGCCCAUAGUCACAUCCUAUUUCCCCUGGUUCCAAAGCCUGUGCACACACAGGCCAUGGUCUGUGCACACACAGUGGUUUUGUGCCAUGGUCCCUACCAUCCCUCCACUGUCUUGUAUCUCUCAUUUUUGUCAUGUCUUAUUUCUCCUAGAUCCUUAUUCUCUGUACAUCACAGUCACCCCACCCAGCUCUAGCAAUGUUUCUGUCCUUCCACCAGCAAUAACAUUAAAAACUCAACUGUCUACAUCUGGUGACUCUGAUCCACUGUAAUGUGGUUUCAUUCACUAGUGUCACACUGGAUCCAGUCUUGUGAGGACCUUAGUAAAGGACAUAUUUCAAUAGCUGUUCUAGAAUGAACAGAGAGGCCCUGUCAACCAUGUGUAGGUCCCAUGGGAGAUAAUAGCCCUCUCUGAGAGCUCAUGGCAACUUGAGAAUGCUGACAGUGCCAGGAAGUCCUGUCUGAAAGAAACCUACUGAAUUUUGUUUGAUUCUGCAUUGUCCAACCGGCCUUGCCCACAGAGCACUUUCAGCUCUGGGGACACACAUUGCAGUUGCCAUCAGGUGGAUGUGACUACCCUCGUAACCUAGCCUGCAAGAUGAAGUUUUGGCUGUACCUUGACUUAUGCUGCAAACGUCUGAAAUAUUACUGCUGGGGUUGGCCAACGAGGUCCCCUCCUCUUCUCAAGACCAGAUUCAAGCCUUCAAGGGGCCCCUUGCUCAGAUCUCAGUGACCAAGCAUAGUGAUAUCCUUGGCAGUGACCCAUCUGCUGUUCCCAUUUGCCAAGUGGAAUGCACAGAGAACCAGUGACUCCUUUUUGAGUUCAAGCUCCCAGAGCAGCACCUGACUCUGAGUAGUUACUUGACCAAUACUGAGUGAACAGUGAGAAAGAAAAAUGAAACAAAAUGUGUCAUUAAACAGUCUGGAGAAAAAAGCCAAGGGAGCAAAAGAUGGCUUCUUAUUCUGCAUCUACCCCUCUCUUCAUGAAGACCUCCCCAGAUAUCUACCUGGUUCACUUUCUGGCCCUUACAGAACAGAAUAGAAAGAAAUCAUCCUUGGGAUGGAGUGUGUGUAUGUGUCCUGUCCGUACUUCCCUCUGUGAUUGACCUGCCUGCUUUCGUCUUACAGAGAAAGCCUGUAUUUCUCAUGUGACAUCAAAUGUUAAUUUUCUCCAGGGCCAUUCAGGCAGAACAGAGUCCUGCUUGCUACUCAUGGCUUUUCAGAACCGUCCAAACACAGGGGCCGGGCUAUGUGCACCACCUUCUGAAUUGCAGUUUAUGGAAAGGUGGGCUUGAUUCUAAUGGAGAUUGGGGGUGUCAUACAAAUGGCCAAAUGUGAGGCUUUUUAACAGUCUAGCAAAUGCAGCUGUGUUCUCAGCCUACAUAGUACAGGUCUUGAAAACACCAGGAAAAAUCAUGCAGUCAUUGCAAUAUCAAAGGGGCCAAAAAAUCAAAAUAGUUUUCUCUGUUUCUUUUGCAAGGGGAAUUUUGAGAGGAUUUUCUUGCAAAUGGUGCAGAUGUUCUGCCCCCAGAAGAUGUCAGCUGCCCAAAGUACCUGGUGGCCUGAUGCCAAGGCAUCACCUUGGCAACCAAUGCAUCCCCAGGUCCUCCAGUAUCUGUCAGAUGUGUUCCUCUGAGGGCAGCGUGAGCUUGCUCUAGGGCCUAGAAGCUUAGCCUCCCCAGAGCCUGUUCUUUUUGUCUGAGGCAUUUUCUCUUAUUAUAAUUCCCUUUUUUUCUUUCUCUCAGACACUUUUUAAGCCCCUACCAAGUACCAAGCAUAGUUAUAAGUUACUGGUACACAGCUAUGAACAAGAGGAAAUGCUGUCUUCAUGGGACUUGUGUUCCACUACAGGAGGAGGCCUUUAAUAAAAGAGAUUAUGAAGGACUCUUGUUAUGGGAGAAAACAGCAAGGGGAAGGGCUUGACAAGUCUACAUUUCCAUGUGAUUUAUGGUUUUCAAAGAACUCUCACUUACUUUGCAGUGCUUCCUAGUACUGCAUUCUUUAUUUUUCUGAUAUGGAAGUUGCUCUUCUAGGUGCAGGCAUCACCCCUCCUCAAGGCCAAGCACUGCAUGCCUGCAUUGCAUUAAAUGUUCAUGCCCCUGUGGCACCUGUGGCCCUUAUAACACCUGGAACUGCUCAUAACUCCUUGCCUUGUGCCCCUGUGACCCCACAGCCUGCUCAUCCCUGCAGCUGCUGAACUUGAGUGCCUGGCCCUGGUCAACAACCCACAUUGGUUGCUGGGAUUGAAGGCAGGACUGUCACAGCAUUUCAAAAGUAUGGUAGGCUCAGUCUUUGCUCAGAUGGACUUGAAGGUAAGUGAGAGGCCCCUUCGAGCAGUUGGGGAGAUGCAUGAAUUGACUUCUACUGGUCACAGAGACAACACCCACUACCACUGAAUGGGAAAGGCAUGGCUCACAGACCAGGUGUUCCUACCCAGGCUUGAUAUCUGAGAAGAUACCUCAUCUCUUUUUAGAGCCCAUUGAGUCUGUAGUUGGAUGAACAAGGGUGGGUAAAAGGAUUAGGGCAGCCUUCAAAAGUACCCUCUCUUCUCUGGAGGCUGGCAUCCAAAGACGUGGCUCUGGCUUUCCUCUCUCCCUUCUUAAGACUGCUAUUUCUCCUCUCUUUGUAACAUUUAUGGGCAGCGUUCUUUUUGCAAAAGCCUACUAAAAAUGCAUUUAAUACUGUGAGAAAAUAAGGGUCUUUAGAAAAGGAUUUAGAUAUAUACCCUCAGCUAUCUUAAUGGCAAACCAAAAGCCUAAUUCUUACAGACUGUGAAAAUCCUUUUGUGUGUCACGUUGAGUAAGGCAUCUUGUGUCUUCUAUGUCUGCAGGGGGAAAUACCCUCAGAGAAGAUUGUUCUUAUUUUAUAGAACAUGCAGGUGUGCCACCCUGAGUGUGCACCUGCCCAGGGUGUGUGCAUGUAGUGUAUAUGUGGGAGGUAUAUGUGUAUUUGUGGUUUGUGGUGUGGUGUGGUGUUUCAAGUUACAGGGAUCAGGGAAACCAAGUGAGAGACAUUUUGACAUUUUCAAAUGGCAGCAGUGACUUACCAGGUCUCUUUCAACAUUUAGAGAGAUUAAAAAAAGAAAAACUGUACUCUGAAGGCAGUUGUUGGGCAGAAAGAUUUCCAUUUGAACAGAUUGGUUUUGAAACAUUUCAUUUUGCUCUCCUAUCAAAUCCUUGUAAUAUUUUAAGUUAAUGUCUAUUAUUUUACUUUCUUUUUCUUUACAGGAUUAGAAGACGGCAUAUUCUUCAACAAUAGCUAUUUCAAAGCCAACCAAAUAUGUAGGCAGCUGCAAAGCAAGAGAAGAUGAAGAAAAAUAAAAUCUAAAACUGAAUGCCACUAAUGGCAGAUUAUCUGAAAAUACGGUGAAAGAUGAGAUAUGGUUAAUGCAGUCUGAGAAAUAAACCUCUGGUGUGAAUUACUCCAUUUGGAAACUUCUGCAGUGUCAACAUCAACAUGAGCCCAGGAAACAGAUGAUUUCUGAAGCUCCUGGGAUGUGGCCGACUGUAUGCGCUUCGGAGCUGCCAAAGCAUAUGUGUCAGUUAUUUCUAAGGGACAGAAUAGGAAUAGAGAAUUAAGUGUGAACAUCCUCCAAAACAAUGGAAAAGGCCACAUUGUCAACAAGUGUAUUAGAUGCUGUGCCUACUGCUGUUGUCACAGUUUAUAAAGAAACAACCGUGUUUCCACCAUUGGAGAAGAUAACCAGCAAUCCAGUGAAGAAAUGGGCAGAAGACAUGAAUAGACACUUCUCUAAAGAAGACAUCCAGAUGGCCAAACGACACAUGAAAAAAUGCUCAACAUCAUUCAUCAUCAGG